RNAcentral lists this ribosomal RNA (213 nucleotides) under fungal sp. RNAcentral describes it as "partial large subunit ribosomal RNA". Lineage: Eukaryota; Fungi. The record is from RNAcentral.
AAACGAUUGAAGUCAGUCGCGUCGGCCGAGACUCAACCUUACUUUUGUACGGUGUACUUCUCGGUUGACGGGUCAACAUCAAUUUCGAUCGCCGGAUAAAGGCCUUGGGAAUGUAGCUUCUUUCGGGGAGUGUUAUAGCCCUCGGUGCAAUGCCGCCUACCUGGACCGAGGACCGCGCUUCGGCUAGGAUGCUGGCGUAAUGGUUGUAAGCGA